GAAAGUAAACAAGGGCGCAUGGAGGAUGCCUAGGCUCUCGGAGGCGAAGAAGGACGUGAUAAGCUGCGAAAAGUUACGGUAAGGCGCAAAUAGCCGUAGACCCGUAAAUAUCCGAAUGGGGCAACCCGGCCAGCAAUGGCCAUACCGCCAAGCGGUAAGCCAACGCGGGGAACUGAAACAUCUAAGUACCCGCAGGAAAAGAAAAUAACCAUGAUUCCGCCAGUAGUGGCGAGCGAACGCGGAACAGCCCAAACCACCCGUGUUACGGCACGGGUGGGGUAGAAGGAUCCACGCUACGGCAAGAAAUAAGUUAGCAGAAUACGAUGGAAAUCGUAGCCAAAGACGGUGACAGCCCGGUAUGCGAAAACAGACAGAAGCCCAGUGGACACCUGAGUAACCCAGGACACGAGAAAUCCGGGGCGAAUCAGCGGGGCCCAUCCCGUAAGGCUAAAUACUCCCGAGAGACCGAUAGCGAACCAGUACUGUGAAGGAAAGGUGAAAAGAACCUCGAACAGAGGAGUGAAACAGACCCUGAAACCAUGCGCCUACAAGCGGUCGGAGCAUGUUAAAAUGUGACGGCGUGCCUUUUGCAUAAUGAACCUACGAGUUACUCUCGCUGGCAAGGUUAAGCGAUUCAGUCGCGUAGCCGAAGCGAAAGCAAGUCCGAAUAAGGCGUACAGUCAGCGGGAGUAGACGCGAAACCAAGUGAUCUACCCUUGGUCAGGUUGAAGGUUGGGUAACACCAACUGGAGGACCGCACCGAUAAGCGUUGAAAAGCUUACGGAUGAACUGAGGGUAGGAGUGAAAGGCCAAUCAAACUUGGAGAUAGCUCGUACUCCCCGAAAUGCAUUUAGGUGCAGCCUCGAAGCAAAGUGAUAGAGGUAGAGCGACUGAUAAGAUGCGAGGGCUUCACCGCCUAUCAAGUCUUGACAAACUCCGAAUACUAUCACUUGAUCUUCGGGAGUGAGGGCAUGGGUGCUAAGGUCCAUGUCCGAAAGAGGAACAACUCAGACCACCAGCUAAGGUCCCGAAAUAAGGGCUAAGUUGAACAAACGAAGUAAAACUGCAAAGACAGCUAGGAUGUUGGCUUGGAAGCAGCCAUUCAUUUAAAGAGUGCGUAACAGCUCACUAGUCGAGGAGUUUUGCAUGGAUAAUAAUCGGGCAUAAGCCCUUUACCGAAGCUGUGGAUGUCGCAAGACAUGGUAGGGGAGCAUUCCGGCGGCGACGAAGGCCGUCCUCGAGGACGACUGGAGCUUUCGGAAAAGCAAAUGUAGGUAUAAGUAACGAUAAAGGGGGCGCGAAACCCCCUCGCCAUAAGACUAAGGAUUCCUGAUCAACGCUAAUCGGAUCAGGGUAAGUCGGGCCCUAAGGCGCAGCCGAACGGCGUAGCCGAUGGAAGAAACGGUAAAGAUUCCGUUACUGGAUAUAGGAGCGAUGUGGAGACGGAGAAGUGACACACCCGCCUGCCGACGGAAGCGCAGGUUAAAGGAAGUAGGUAAACGCCGGGUAGGCAAAUCCGCCUGGCGUGCCGAAACUGACAGUAUCGAGAGCCCCCGGGCAAUCGAAUAGCGGUGGUAAUCAGGCUCCCAAGAAAAUCCGCUAAGCAUAUUCUAUAUUCACCCGUACCCCAAACGGACACACGUAGUCGGGUAGAAUAUACCAAGGCGCUCGAAAGACUCACGGUUAAGGAACUAGGCAAAUUGACCCUGUAACCUCGGGAAAAAGGGUCCCCAGUAAGAUGGGGCGCAGAGAAUAGGUCCAGGCAACUGUUUAACAAAAACACAGGGCUGUGCAAAAUUUAGAGAUGAAGUAUACAGCCUGACACCUGCCCGGUGCCGGAAGGUUAAGAGGAGAGCUUAUCGCAAGAGAAGGCUUGAAUUGAAGCCCCGGUAAACGGCGGCCGUAACUAUAACGGUCCUAAGGUAGCGAAAUUCCUUGUCGGGUAAGUUCCGACCUGCACGAAUGGUGUAAUGAUCUGGACACUGUCUCAACCGUGAGCUCGGUGAAAUUGUAAAUACAUCCUUUCCGUCCGCGGCUGGUUUGCCGUGUCGUAUCGUGUAGAGUCCCACCGGCUUUCCCAACCGGCGGGCGUGCUUUUUCCUAAGCACAGUAUCUUUACUUUAUCAUGUUUUGCGCGGGUUGUAAAGUUACUUGUGGUAUUUCAUGCCCACGUUGAUGGUACAUGCGCGGUAGAUCUGUUCCGUGAGCACCAGCCGUGCCAGCUGAUGGGGCAUGGUGAUGCGCCCCAUGCUGAACUUGAGGGCUGCAGCCUUUUUCACCUCAUCGGACAGGCCGUGGGACGAGCCGAUGACAAAGGCCACAUCCCCUGCCCCGCUGUUUGCCCGGUCGGCCAGGAACUGCGCCAGCUCGUCGGAAGAGAUCUGUUUGCCCUCGAUGCACAUGGCUACGAUGGCCGCGCCCUUGCGCACGCUGGACAGGAUGGCCUUGCCCUCCUUAUCCAGCGCCUUUUUCACCACGGCGUCGGAAGCGUUCUUCUCUUCGAUCUUUUCCUCCGGCAGCUCGAUGAUGCGGAAGGACGCAAAGGCCGACAGCCGUUUCUGGUAUUCGGCCACGCCCUCGGCAAAGUAUUUUGCGUUCAGUUUGCCCACACAGAUCAGGUCAAUGUUUUGCAUUU
This 2635-nucleotide ribosomal RNA is filed under the name human gut metagenome. Its description in RNAcentral is "bacterial LSU rRNA". The stretch from base 1 to 2127 matches the Rfam family "Bacterial large subunit ribosomal RNA". The record is from RNAcentral.